RNAcentral lists this ribosomal RNA (341 nucleotides) under uncultured Butyrivibrio sp. RNAcentral describes it as "partial 16S ribosomal RNA". The record is from RNAcentral. Lineage: Bacteria; Bacillati; Bacillota; Clostridia; Lachnospirales; Lachnospiraceae.
GGAGUCUGGGCCGUGUCUCAGUCCCAAUGUGGCCGUCCGCCCUCUCAGGCCGGCUACUGAUCGUCGCUUUGGUGGGCCGUUACCCCGCCAACUGGCUAAUCAGAUGCGGAUCCAUUCCAUCCCGAUAAAUCUUUUCACACCGUAGGAUGCCCUACUGUGCGCUUAUGCGGUAUUACCAGCCGUUUCCAGCUGCUAUCCCCCUGGAUGGACCAGGUUAUCCACACGUUACUCACCCGUCCGCCACUAAGCUACGACAAGAUUCUCUUCGUACAAGUACUCCAAUCAUCAGCGUCGCAGCUCCGUUCGACUUGCAUGUGUUAGGCACGCCGCCAGCGUUCAUC